Long non-coding RNA from Cercocebus atys (sooty mangabey), 640 nucleotides. RefSeq lists it as uncharacterized. The record is from RefSeq and is a predicted model, not a curated record. The transcript has 3 exons. NCBI's taxonomy places the organism in Eukaryota, Metazoa, Chordata, Mammalia, Primates, Cercopithecidae.
UAGCAUCUGUGUCUUCAGGCCAAAUGAUGUAUGAUCCAGUUUGAUUUAAUUUACUUAUCAUUCACAUUGGAGGGAAUUCAGAAUACGAAGACAGAUAGAACAGGCCCUGAGUAAAGAAAGGAAGAUGCAGAGUGCCCUGCGAAGAACUUGUCACCAGCCAGCGAAGGUUGUGUCUCAAGCUUCAGUGCAAGUGUGGCCAGUAUGAGUCCCAAAAAGUCAAGAUGACUCCUGACAGCGGUAAUCAGGUUUAUGUAGAAAAGGAAGGACAACAUCCCAGGAAUGUGACCUUCUGAGAAGGACUUUGUCCUAUAAUUCAUCCGUCUGGGGAACAUGCAUGAAAUAAGACUUGGAGACAAAGAAAGGCUGAAUGCAAUAGUAAGCCGGUAUAAAAAUUAUGUUCUGGGAAGCAAGGCUACGAGUUACAGAGGACCACUUUAUUUAUUUCUGUGUAUUUAUUUUCAAUUGGUGUGAUAUUUAGAGUAGUCAAUCCUUUUGACCCCUCUUAACUACUUAUUGAUCAGAAUACUGCUAAUUCCGCAUGAUGCACAUACUUUUUAAAAAAGACUUCUUCAAUUAAAGUGAUGAAUGUAAUUCAUUUAUUCUUCAAAUUUACUCUGAUAUUAAUUAAUGAAAAAAUGCA